UUUUUUUUUUUUUGUCCUCUAUGUAAUACUGACUUUAUUAAGUCAGUAAAAAAUUAAGUUUUUGGUGUAUACUAGCUUUUGGCCGCCUUCACAGCAUGAAGAGCCUAGCUCCAGUUCUCAAUGCCUUUUUCUGCUAAUAAAAAUAUUUCCUUCCGUGCAUGUGAGAGUAUGGCCAAGUGGCCACUUAAGUAACUCUGGGAAAAAAAACAGUACAAGCUUUUCUUAGUCCCUAGCUGAAAGGCAACUUUUUCUUUCCACCUUCUUAACUCUUUUCUUAACCACACCAAAUUUACAGUGUGGUUUCUGAGGCACAGACAUCAGAACUGGACUUAAUUUCCCCAUAACAUUCUGACUGACAUCCUAUGCAGUGAUAAUACCGCAUCUCUGCUUUGGGGUUUUUAUCCUCAAAACAAAUGCAUUUUUCUUGGGAAAAAAAGUACUUGUGGAAGACACACAUUUGUACACAGUUGUAAGUUUAUUUGCUAUAUAUGAUUGCCAUAAGAGGACAGCUGUAAACUACUAUGUGUACUUGAUUACAGCCAAUAUACAUUAGUGAAGAUUUCAUAGAAUAUUUACCAAACAUUUAUCCUAGCACAAACCUGUAAGCUGUAUAUUCAGAAGUCUGUGUUGCCACUGUUCAAACUGCUAAUGGUGAUAUUUAAGCCUCUGAAAAGUUCUGAUGUUUGCAUGCUACUGCUGUUUUUAUUGUUUUCAUCUCAUGUCAUCCUGCUUUCACCCACCACAAAAAUUCCAGUCAGUAAGGGUGUGCUUGUUAGCUGAUUUAAAUUCAAACACUUCACGCCAAACCCAGCAUCAAAUGAAAUCAUUGGCAAAACCCCCACUGACUUCACUCGGAGUAAGACCAACUGGAGGAGCAAGGCUCCCAUGAGAGGCAUGCAUCACUGUCAUUCACAUCCUGCUGAGUCUGUGAGAACCAGGACAAGAUACUAUUUGAAGGCCCUUCUACUUGCGUUUCAUGUGACACACCACUUCUCUUUUGUUUUGCAGAACUUUGUAAGAGAAGAUUUUUACUAUCUGCAAGUAACAAACUGAAGAGGCUGGAUGAGUCACUGGAGACAGUUUUGGGCCAGCUCGGCUUGCAGACUGCCAGUGUCAGGGAAGGUUCACCCAAUUCUCCCCUUCCUGCUGCACAGCCAUCCCAAAAUAACGUGGCAGCGCUAAACAUAGCACCGCCAUGCUCUUUUAAUAAACAAUGAUUCCUGCAGCGUGUACAAGUCACCACAUUUGUCAAGAUAAGCACAUCAACAGGAGAUGUCAUAUUAGCCUAGACAAAGAGAUUGAACCAGAUAGCUUUGUCAAACAUCAAGCAAAGGGGCUCAUUCAAACUGACAAAGCAAGAAAUUAUUUAAAAGUUGAACCUACCAAUUUAGCCUUAACUCAUUCUGUCCUCUCCUGC
Molecule: long non-coding RNA, 1417 nt
Filed under: Strigops habroptila (Kakapo)
Lineage: Eukaryota; Metazoa; Chordata; Aves; Psittaciformes; Psittacidae
Description: lncRNA (ENSSHBG00005018667.1)
Source: RNAcentral